CCAGACUCCUACGGGAGGAAGCAGUAGGGAAUUUUGCGCAAUGGGGGAAACCCUGACGCAGCAACACCGCGUGAAUGUUAAGCCCUUCGGGGUGUAAAGUUCUGUCCAUAGGGACGAAUUUUGACUGUACCUAUAAAGGAAGCACCGGCUAACUCCGUGCCAGCAGCCGCGGUAAUACGGGGGGUGCAAGCGUUGUCCGGAAUCAUUGGGCGUAAAGCGUUCGUAGGCGGUAAAGUAAGUCAGAUGUUAAAGCCCGGGGCUCAACUCCGGUUCGGCAUUUGAUACUACUUGACUAGAAUGCGGUAGAGGUAAAGGGAAUUCCUGGUGUAGCGGUGAAAUGCAUAGAUAUCGCGCAGAACUCCGAUUGCGAAGGCAGCAUGCCGGCUCCACACUGACGCUGAGGCACGAAAGCGUGGGUAUCGAACAGGAUUAGAUACCCGCGUAU
RNAcentral lists this ribosomal RNA (445 nucleotides) under uncultured bacterium. RNAcentral's name for it is "bacterial SSU rRNA". It matches the Rfam family "Bacterial small subunit ribosomal RNA", at positions 331 to 793 of the family's 1533-position model. The record is from RNAcentral.